Molecule: long non-coding RNA, 161 nt
Organism: Xenia sp. Carnegie-2017
Lineage: Eukaryota; Metazoa; Cnidaria; Anthozoa; Malacalcyonacea; Xeniidae
Exons: 2
Source: RefSeq, a predicted model, not a curated record
GGAGAUUUCUACUUAGUGAUUCAGUGAUCUAAUUAUCAUCAUAGUUGGCAGAGCCGUUGGAUCACAGUAAAAAUCCUUGCAAGAACAGAAAGACUUUGUUCCAGAAACAUCUGAUAAAACAUAUAUAUUUUAUAUUGAAAUGAAACAUGCUAACGACUGGA